RNAcentral lists this ribosomal RNA (301 nucleotides) under uncultured Ferroglobus sp. RNAcentral describes it as "bacterial SSU rRNA". It matches the Rfam family "Bacterial small subunit ribosomal RNA", at positions 495 to 795 of the family's 1533-position model. The record is from RNAcentral. Lineage: Archaea; Methanobacteriati; Methanobacteriota; Archaeoglobi; Archaeoglobales; Archaeoglobaceae.
UGCUAAAGCCUUGCAGGCGGCCAGGGUAAGACGGAGGGGGUUAUCGUUAAGCGGAAUUACUGGGCGUAAAGCGUGAGCAGGCGGCUUAUUAAGACAGAUGUGAAAUCCCUAGGCUCAAGCUAGGAACUGCAUUUGAAACUAAUAAAGUAGAGUAUCGUAGAGGGAGGUAGAAGUCCAGGUGUAGCGGUGAAAUGCGUAGAUAUCUGGAGGAAUACCAGUGGCGAAGGCGACCUCCUGGACGAAAACUGACGCUCAAGCACGAAAGCAUGGGGAGCAAACAGGAUUAGAUACCCGGGUCGUC